RNAcentral lists this ribosomal RNA (459 nucleotides) under uncultured bacterium. Its description in RNAcentral is "partial 16S ribosomal RNA". It matches the Rfam family "Bacterial small subunit ribosomal RNA", at positions 338 to 795 of the family's 1533-position model. The record is from RNAcentral.
CCUACGGGAGGCAGCAGUGAGGAAUAUUGGUCAAUGGUCGGGAGACUGAACCAGCCAAGCCGCGUGAGGGAGGAAGGUACAGAGUAUCGUAAACCUCUUUUGUCAGGGAACAAAGACUGGGACGCGUCCCCGGAUGAGUGUACCUGAAGAAAAAGCAUCGGCUAACUCCGUGCCAGCAGCCGCGGUAAUACGGAGGAUGCGAGCGUUAUCGGGAUUUAUGGGGUUUAAAGGGUGCGCAGGCGGUCUGUUAAGUCCGCGGUCAAAGCCCGGGGCACAACCCCGGCCCGCCGUUGAAACUGGCAGUCUCGAGUUGGAGAGAAGUAUGCGGAAUGCGCGGUGUAGCGGUGAAAUGCAUAGAUAUCGGGCAGAACUCCGAUUGCGAAGGCAGCAUGCCGGCUCCACACUGACGCUGAGGCACGAAAGCGUGGGUAUCGAACAGGAUUAGAUACCCCUGUAGUC